RNAcentral lists this ribosomal RNA (253 nucleotides) under uncultured bacterium. RNAcentral describes it as "partial 16S ribosomal RNA". It matches the Rfam family "Bacterial small subunit ribosomal RNA", at positions 524 to 776 of the family's 1533-position model. The record is from RNAcentral.
UACAGAGGUCCCAAGCGUUGUUCGGAUUCACUGGGCGUAAAGGGUGCGUAGGUGGUCGGGUAAGUCUGAUGUGAAAUCUCCGAGCUUAACUCGGAAAUGGCAUUGGAAACUACCUUGCUCGAGGGUUGGAGGGGGGACUGGAAUACUUGGUGUAGCAGUGGAAUGCGUAGAUAUCAAGUGGAACACCAGUGGCGAAGGCGAGUCCCUGGACAACUCCUGACACUGAGGCACGAAAGCUAGGGGAGCAAACAGG